UGCAGAAUCCCGUGAACCAUCGAGUCUUUGAACGCAAGUUGCGCCCGAAGCCGUUAGGCCGAGGGCACGUCUGCCUGGGCGUCACACGUCGUUGCCCCCCCGACCCCUUCGGGGGUCGGACGGGACGGAUGAUGGCCUUCCCGUGUGCCCUGUCACGCGGUUGGCAUAAAUACCGAGUCCUCGGCGACCGGCGUCGCGGCGAUCGGUGGUUGUCAAACCUCGGUGCCUUGUCGCGUGCGUGUGUCGAUCGCGGGACUUCCUUAGCCGUAAGCGCGUCGGUAACCCGACGCUUUCAACGCGACCCCAGGUCAGGCGGGGUUACCCGCUGAAUUUAA
RNAcentral lists this ribosomal RNA (335 nucleotides) under Magnoliophyta environmental sample. RNAcentral's name for it is "eukaryotic LSU rRNA". The stretch from base 1 to 84 matches the Rfam family "5.8S ribosomal RNA", at positions 73 to 154 of the family's 154-position model. The record is from RNAcentral. Lineage: Eukaryota; Viridiplantae; Streptophyta; Magnoliopsida.